GACAACGUGACUAAUUGCAUGUCUAAUAUCUAUACACUAAGAACCAACUUUUCAAUAAAAUAUUUUCUAUUGUGUAUUGGAAGGCGUCGGAACGUAAAAAAUCCAUAUUAAACGAUUUCAUUUUUCCACAACAAAAAAUAAUAAAACUAUAAACAACUGUGAACUGUGAAGCAGAUGAAAUUACAAAGAUUAAAGAAACAAAAACUUUAAGAACAAAGGGUAUGUAGAUACACGCGGAGAAGAAUGAAUGUACCAAUCUCUAGGCUUCAGCCGUGGUCUCAAUGUAGCGAUUUCAAGACUGGUGAACACUUUUGUUUCCGGGUGUGCAUACAUAAAAAAUAACAUAGAAUACUCGUAAUAUGAAUAGCUUUUAGUUUUAUAAUCAAGUUUUAAUUACACAUGUGCUGGUUUCGGAUAAAGCAAAAAAUGUUUUUCCUUUGCAGUUUUGACGUAAAAUCAAAGAUAUUUUUUUUUCCUUUUGUAAACUCAAUCCGGGAACAUACUGUAGAGUGACAAAACAAGCUGGUUACACAUAUUAUUUAGAAUUUAUUUUUAUCAGUCAUACU
This is a long non-coding RNA of Tribolium madens (black flour beetle), 566 nucleotides long. RefSeq lists it as uncharacterized. The transcript is spliced from 3 exons. NCBI's taxonomy places the organism in Eukaryota, Metazoa, Arthropoda, Insecta, Coleoptera, Tenebrionidae. The record is from RefSeq and is a predicted model, not a curated record.